This 271-nucleotide ribosomal RNA is filed under the name Pseudoalteromonas sp. XI10. RNAcentral describes it as "partial 16S ribosomal RNA". It matches the Rfam family "Bacterial small subunit ribosomal RNA", at positions 1258 to 1528 of the family's 1533-position model. Lineage: Bacteria; Pseudomonadati; Pseudomonadota; Gammaproteobacteria; Alteromonadales; Pseudoalteromonadaceae. The record is from RNAcentral.
CGAGGGUAAGCGAAUCACUUAAAGUGCGUCGUAGUCCGGAUUGGAGUCUGCAACUCGACUCCAUGAAGUCGGAAUCGCUAGUAAUCGCAUAUCAGAAUGAUGCGGUGAAUACGUUCCCGGGCCUUGUACACACCGCCCGUCACACCAUGGGAGUGGGUUGCUCCAGAAGUGGAUAGUCUAACCUUCGGGAGGACGUUCACCACGGAGUGAUUCAUGACUGGGGUGAAGUCGUAACAAGGUAGCCCUAGGGGAACCUGGGGCUGGAUCACCU